UACAGAGGUGGCAAGCGUUGUUCGGAAUUACUGGGCGUUAAGGGCGCGUAGGCGGCCUACUAAGUCAGACGUGAAAUCCCCCGGCUUAACCUGGGAACUGCGUCUGAUACUGGAAGGCUUGAGGAUGGGAGAGGGAUGUAGAAUUCCAGGUGUAGCGGUGAAAUGCGUAGAUAUCUGGAGGAAUACCGGUGGCGAAGGCGGCAUCCUGGACCAUUACUGACGCUGAGGCGCGAAAGCUAGGGGAGCAAACGGG
This 253-nucleotide ribosomal RNA is filed under the name uncultured bacterium. RNAcentral's name for it is "partial 16S ribosomal RNA". It matches the Rfam family "Bacterial small subunit ribosomal RNA", at positions 524 to 776 of the family's 1533-position model. The record is from RNAcentral.